CAUUGUUACCUGUCGAAUGAGAAUAAUCUGGCUUCUCUUUUUAGUACAUGUCAUACGAGAGUAAAGAUCACCGUGAGAUAAGCAUCAGCUAUUCCAAGCUAUUUGUUUGUAGCGCAUUAUACCUUGACAUCUCCUCUUUUCUUUUAAAGUUUUUCCGUAAAAAUGAAAAUUAGUACUAGCUUGAUGAAUGAUACGAGAUUUUAAAGAAAAUGAAAAAGUUUAAAAGAGGAAUGUGACUCUUAAAUUUGAAAACUGUUUAAACAAUGAUAAUUGUGUUCUGUAAGGAGUUUGCCUUCACCAUUAGGUUCUUAUGCUUAUAUUAUAAUUGGUGAAUGCAUUAUUGUACAUGCAAAAUGAUUUUAGGGAAAAAAGAUUAGAGGAUUCUGGCUAUGCAGUUGGGACACGAAUUUUGGAAUUCCUCUAUCAUAUGGAAAAAGGUAUGAAAUUACUCUUGCAAUUUAAUCCCUGCUAUUUUACUUUUAACUAUAAUUGGUAAAUACAAAUCUUGACUAGGAAGCUGGGAGAUAGAAAAAAAUUAUAGAAAGGAGAGAAAGUAAAACAAAGAGUAGAGUUUCGUAGACGUAUAGCUCAAUAAAAUAUGUAAGAGCUUAUUAGACUCCGGAGGACUCUUUAAUUCUUUAUUUGGUUCAGUUCCAACCUCCAAUCAACGUAGUUGUUUUCAUUUGGAAGUUGGGUAGUAUAUUAUUGAGCUUGUGAUACUUUAGUAAAGAACCAAUAAAAACAAAUUUGACACAGGUUUUUGGUUAUAUUGUAGGAUUAUUAUGGAUCAUCAAUACAUAUUUUUUUCCAGAACAUAUGCUUGCUCACUUUUAAAUGCUGCUGGAUGAACACAUAUACACACUUGCUAUUCCAAUUGUCAAUGAAAAAGUAGUUGUGAGGUCAAUAGGGAACUAAGUGCACAAAGAACAUUAUAAAAAAAUGACCAUAGUGGUGAGGGCCUUAGCUUCAAUGUUGUCAAGGCUAUGUUUUACUUUUGAAUAAUGCAAAUAACCCCAAACAAGGAACGCUUUAGUUUUCAGAUGUUUAAGCCAGCAAAAAUGAUGGUUAAAUGUAGUAAUCAUAGGAGACAAUCUUUUUUAACUGACAUAAAAAAUAUUCUAAAAUAUUAAUGCCCUUUGUAAUUCUGAAGAUAUAACGACCUGAUCGAUCGUUUUGAGCAUUUACAUUCCGUUCAGCUGUUUGAAAUCUUGAGUAGCUUCGUACGACAUAUUAUGACUUGUGUGAAUCGUCGAUUUUGGUUUUCAGGUUAAUCAAAAUUGAUUUGGGAGAAAGAUUUUCAACUAGGAAGUUUUAAGUUGGAAGAGUUGACCAAGUUAAACUUUUGAGUAUUUGACCUCGGAUCGGAAUUUUGAUGGUUUCGUUAUUUUCGAAAGGUGAUUUUGGACUUGGGCGUAUGCCCGGAUUUACAUUUGGAUGUUCCUAGAAGUUUUUGGCAUUAUUUGGCGAAAGUUGACAAUUUGAAGAUUUGGAAUAUUUAUAAGUUUGGUCGGGAGUUGACUUUGAUGAUAUCGGGUUAGGAUUGUGGUUCCGUGAAUUUGAAUAGCUUCAUUAUGUCAUUAGGGAUUUGUGUGCAAAAUUUGAGUUCAUUCAGAUUUGAUUUGAUAAGGUUCGACACGUGUUUUGAAAGUUGAAAGUUCAAAAGUUCAUUAAGUUCAAUUUGAGGUGUGAUUCGUCGUUUAGAUGUUGUUAUGCGUGAUUUGAGGCCUCGAGUAGGUCCUUGUUUUGUUAUGGGACUUAUUGGCAUGUUCAUGCGGGGUCCCGAGGGGCUCAGGUGAGUCUCAGAUAUGAUUCAGAAUGUUUUGUCUCAUGUUGCAUUGCUGAAGAAGUGUUGGUACUGGUAUUUCCGCAUUUUUGGAGGUUUGGACGCAGAUACGAGUCCACAGAUGCGGAUGAUUCAUCAUAAAAGUGGAAGUGGCAGGCAGGGCAUGAAGGUCGCAGGUGCGGGAGCAUGAGCGCACCUGCGCGAUCGCAAGUGCGGUUCUAUAUGCACAGAAGCGCGACCGCAGAAGCGGAGAGAUGAUCGCAGAGGCGGUGGCUGCUGAGUUUGGGCGUGUUCGCAGAAGCGGAGGCCGGGCUGCGUGCGAGUUCGCAGAAGCGAGAAUUUGUUCGCAAAGGCGAAAAUAGCUGGGCAGAAGUUGUAAACUGAGGGUAUUGUUCAUUUUUGCAUUUUGGAGCUAUGGAGCUCGGAUUGAAACGAUUUUUGAGGCGAUUUUUACCACAUGAAUUGGGGUAAGUAUUCUACACUCGGUUCUGAUUAUAUUUCGUGAAUCUAUAUUAGAUUUUGUCAUUUGGAUUAUGAAUUUUAAAGAGAAUUUUGGGUGUUUUGUAUAAAAUUUUAUAGAGUGAAUUUUUGAGUUUUGAACAUCGAUUCGAAGUCGGAUUGGAGUGAAACUAGUAUGGUUGGACUCGUAAUUGAAUGGGUUGUCGGAUUUUUUGAGCUUUUUCGUGUUCCGUAGCGUGGACCCGGGUUUGACUUUUUGGUCAAAUUUGGGCUUUUGAUUAAAUAUUCAACCUUUGUCAUUUGGGUUUGUUUCCUUAGGCAUUAAUUGAUGUUUUUGAGUUGCUUUUGGCUAGCUUCUAGCCGUUCGAAGUUGAUACACGCGGGAUGGCAUUUUUAGAGUGUCGUUUGGUUUGAUCGGUAUUUGUCUUGGCUUAUUUGAGGUAAGUAAUACUUCUAAACUCGAUGCUGAGGGUAUGAACCCCUGAAUAUACGUGUUAUGUGUUUGGUGUUGAGGUGACGCACAUGCUAGGUGACGGGCGUGUGGGCGUGUACCGUAUGAAUUAUGACUCGAUUGAUUUGUGUGGUACUGUAUAGUUAUUUAUCUUGUUUCUAUCCAUGAAAUUCGUACUUGUUAGAGAAAUUGAGUUGUGAUCCAUGUUAGAAAAUCAUGUUUAUGCCAUAUACUUAUACUGUUGGGACCCAUUGAGGUCGUUUCUAAUGUUGAGUUUUUUGCUUAAAUUGCAAUUACAUACUCAGUCAUAAUUAUUUAUUUACAUAUCAUAUCUUAGUCGUUGUUAUCAUUUAUUGUCACAUCAUGUUAUCAUUGUUUGGGCUGAUUGGCAUGAGAUUUGUGAGCCCGUUGAAUUGGAGAGAUUGAUGACUGAGUGAGGCCAAAGGUCUGAUUGUGAGUGAUAUAUAUGGGUUCGGGCUGCACACCGCAACGGAAUUUAUUGAUUCAGGAUGGGAUCGGGCUACAUGCCGCAGCAUGCUAUGAUUGACUUAUAUUAGCACUUGGGCAGGAUCCGCCCCUCUGGAGUCUGACAUACCAGUAGUGAGCGUAGGUACCUACUGAGUGUGAGUGCCGAGUGAUUGGGAGAUGUUGAGUGAUUGAGAGUGUUGAGUGAUUGGGAGGUGCUGAGUGAUUGAGUGUGCUGAGUGAGGUUGAAUACUCCGAGAGCAUGAGCACAUGAGUUUAUCAUUGUGAUGCAUUACAUUUGACAUACAUGCAUGGCAUGUAGGCAUAGAGAUGUAUUUCCUCAUGUUAUACGGUAUUGUGACAUUCAUGACUUCACAUGCACAUUGACAUGUAGGCAUAGAGAUGUACUUUCCUCAUGCUAUCUAAUGAUGAAAUAUCUUAUCUGUUGUUGAAAGUUUUGGGAAAAUCACAUUUUUCUAAUAUAUUCGUAUUUCGGUAAUUUCGGUGAAAGAUUUGGGUUCUUACUGUUAUAUCUGAGAAGCAUGCCUAUUUUCCCUAACUGUGAACGAGUUGAGAAUCAUAUCUUGGAGUAUUACUUGUAAUGUUUUCAUUACAUUGGUACGAGUUGUUCUUGGUUGUUGGUAUUGGACUCUGACCGUUGUCCAAGCUCGUCACUACUUUCAACCUAAAGUUAUGUUUGUUACUUAUUGAGUAUGUGUGGUCGGUUGUACUCAUACUACACUUGUGCACCUUGCGUGCAGAUUUUGGAGCUGAUGUUAUUGUGUAUAGCGGGAGCUGGCAUUGAAGAUGUACAUGCGUUCCGGUUGUAGCUGCCUCUUGUUCGUGUUAGCUUUAGAUUUAUUAAAAUCUAUUUAUGUACAUUUCAAACAGAUGAUGUAUUUCUUUCAUACCAGUUUUGUAAAUUCUAAAUCUUAG
RNAcentral lists this long non-coding RNA (4094 nucleotides) under Nicotiana tabacum (common tobacco). RNAcentral describes it as "long non-coding RNA (NTAB_LNC003544)". The record is from RNAcentral. Lineage: Eukaryota; Viridiplantae; Streptophyta; Magnoliopsida; Solanales; Solanaceae.